RNAcentral lists this ribosomal RNA (327 nucleotides) under uncultured eukaryote. Its description in RNAcentral is "partial 18S ribosomal RNA". It matches the Rfam family "Eukaryotic small subunit ribosomal RNA", at positions 1470 to 1796 of the family's 1831-position model. The record is from RNAcentral.
CCCUUAGAUGUUCUGGGUUGCACGCGCGCUACACUGAUGCGCUCAACGAGUUUUAACCUUGCCUGGAAAGGUUGGGUAAUCUUUUUAAAACGCAUCGUGAUGGGGAUAGAUUAUUGCAAUUAUUAAUCUUCAACGAGGAAUUCCUAGUAAGCGCGAGUCAUCAGCUCGUGCUGAAUACGUCCCUGCCCUUUGUACACACCGCCCGUCGCUCCUACCGAUUGAGUGGUCCGGUGAGGCUUUGGGAUCUGAGCGGAAAGAGCGUUUCGCUGUUUCUGCUCGGAAAACUCAGUCGAACCUUAUCAUUUAGAGGAAGGAGAAGUCGUAACA